AGUAUCAAUAAUCAAUUGAGUAAUAAAUUGAAAAAGAGUGCCAGCAAAACAUACAGGCCAAACAUCGCUCGCUAAACUGCAGUUGUCAGUUAAGAUUAGCGGGAAAAGGAAAAGAAAUAAGAGUUUAUGGUUCCAACACAUUCGAUCAGCUCAGAACGACCAUUGCUGGUAACAGCUUCCCAUACCAUUACAGAGAUACUGCUAUAUUUUACAGUUGGUUGGAGUCGUUUCAAAUCAAAUUCUUGAUUUGGAAGCCUCCAGACCCAAACAUGUCCACUGUUUGAAAAGAAUGCAAAUCUGGAUUCAUCUGAGAAAAUCACUCUAUCCCAAAAUGAACUGGAUUUUUCUGACAUCUCUUUAGCCCAUUUCUUUUUUUUCAUGAUAUUAAUUGGUUGAAGGAAAGGCUUUCUUCUAACUGCUCGUCUAUAAUACCCAAACUUAUGCAAAUAUGUAACACACAUUCUUGGACUAACUUCUAGCUGUUUUGCAAUGUCAGAAGCCUUCAAAUGGGGUUUGCUUUCCACAAUUCUCUUCAAACAGCGAAGCUUCCUUCCCGAGGGCCCAGGUCAGCUGGGACGAGAAUCUGUUGAUUCUUUUCCUUGGCUUUUGAAUUGCACUAUAAUUCAAUUAACAGUAGAAAGAGGAAUUUGAAGAUUUUCGGCAAUUUUUUGUUGGCUAAGACCAGCCUCAGAUUGCCCACCAACACAACCUCUUUGAAAAUCUGACAGUUCUGCUGAAUAUUUUGUGUGUGGAUGGCUACUCUUCACAAAUGUUUAAUAUAAUGGCACCUGGAAUGAAAAAGAAUAAUUACAUUGAAAAUUGUACACUGCUGAAAACAUAUGAAGAUGCUUAGAUCAGAAAUUUUGAAAAUUAAAUAUGUUUUAUUUA
Octopus bimaculoides (California two-spot octopus) is the source of this 888-nucleotide long non-coding RNA. NCBI's taxonomy places the organism in Eukaryota, Metazoa, Mollusca, Cephalopoda, Octopoda, Octopodidae. The record is from RefSeq and is a predicted model, not a curated record.